RNAcentral lists this ribosomal RNA (1959 nucleotides) under human gut metagenome. RNAcentral describes it as "bacterial LSU rRNA". It matches the Rfam family "Bacterial large subunit ribosomal RNA", at positions 1 to 1985 of the family's 2925-position model. The record is from RNAcentral.
UUAAGAAGAGAAGGGCAUGCGGUGAAUGCCUAGGCGCUAAGAGCCGACGAAGGACGCGGUAAGCUGCGAAAAGCCGUGCCGAGACGCAAGCAGUCAGUGACACACGGAUCUCCGAAUAGGAAAACCCCACUGGAGUAAUGUCCAGUGACCCUGUACUGAAUACAUAGGUACAGGGAGGCAACCCGGGGAACUGAAACAUCUAAGUACCCGGAGGAAAAGAAAGAAAACUCGAUUCCCCCAGUAGCGGCGAGCGAAGCGGGAAGAGCCCAAACCAGUUUCGGCUGGGGUUCGGACACUCAUCACGUAAGGGAAGGUUAGUCGAAUGGCAUGGGAAGGCCAGCCACAGACGGUUAGAGCCCAGUAGACGAAAACCCGAACUUAUAGAGUGGAUCCAGAGUACCACGAAGCACGUGGAAUUUCGUGGGAAAGAGCGGGGACCACCCCGUAAGGCUAAAUACUCCUUAGCGACCGAUAGAGAACAAGUACCGUGAGGGAAAGGUGAAAAGCACCUCGGAAGAGGAGUGAAAGAGAACCUGAAACCGCAUGCUUACAAUCAGUCACAGCUCCAUAAGAGAGUAGUGGCGUACUUUUUGUAGAACGGACCGGCGAGUUACGUUAACAAGCGAGGUUAAGGAAACGGAGCCAAAGCGAAAGCGAGUCUGAAGAGGGCGAAAGUUUGUUGACGUAGACCCGAAACCAGGUGAUCUACCCAUGAGCAGGUUGAAGCGUUGGUAAAACAACGUGGAGGACCGAACCAGGGAUCGUUGAAAAGAUCUUGGAUGACUUGUGGGUAGGGGUGAAAUUCCAAUCGAACCUGGAGAUAGCUGGUUCUCCUCGAAAUAGCUUUAGGGCUAGCCUUAUUUUGAGCUUAACGAAGGUAGAGCACUGAAUGGGUACGGGGGCUUCACCGCCUACCAAACCUUAUCAAACUCCGAAUGUCGUUAAGCAUGAAUAGGAGUCAGACCAUGGGGGAUAAGCUUCAUGGUCAAAAGGGAAAGAGCCCAGACCGCCGUCUAAGGUCCCAAAAUCAUUGUUAAGUGGAAAAGGAUGUGAAAUCGCUUAGACAACCAGGAUGUUGGCUUAGAAGCAGCCACCAUUAAAAGAGUGCGUAAUAGCUCACUGGUCCAGGGGUUUUGCGCCGAAAAUGUAACGGGGCUCAAACAAUGUACCGAAGACGCGGAAUUACGAAUGUAAUUGGUAGAGGAGCGUUCUCAUUGGGGAGAAGCGAUACCGAGAGGAGUCGUGGACUAAUGAGAAGAGAGAAUGCCGGUAUAAGUACACGAUAAGGCAGGUGAGAAUCCUGCCCGCCGGAAGUCUAAGGGUUCCUGGGGAAGGCUCGUCCACCCAGGGUAAGUCGGGGCCUAAGGCAAGGCCGAAAGGCGUAGUCGAUGGGAAACAGGUAGAUAUUCCUGUACCACCGCUAUAUGAUGACGAAGCAGUGACGCAGAAAGGUAGAGCGAGCGGCCAGUUGGUGAGCCGUUCAAGUGAGUAGGGUGUUUGGUAGGCAAAUCCGCCAAACGGAAGCCUGAGACACGAUGACGAGUGAAAAAUAGUAACGAAGUCCUUGAUCCUCCGCUGCCAAGAAAAGCUGCUAAGGAAUAUAGAGGUGCCCGUACCGCAAACCGACACAGGUAGACAGGUAGAGAAUACUAAGGCGCGCGAGAUAACUCUUGUUAAGGAACUCUGCAAAAUGAACCCGUAACUUCGGGAGAAGGGUUGCUGACCAUGGUGAGUAUGAGCAAUACAGAGCUGAGGUCAGUCGCAGUGAAAAGGUCCAGGCGACUGUUUAGCAAAAACACAGGUCAUUGCAAAAUCGCAAGAUGAAGUAUAAUGGCUGACGCCUGCCCGGUGCUGGAAGGUUAAGGGGAAGAGUGCAAGCUUUGAACCGAAGCCCCAGUAAACGGCGGCCGUAACUAUAACGGUCCUAAGGUAGCGAAAUUCCUUGUCGGGUAAGUUCCG